RNAcentral lists this small RNA (311 nucleotides) under Pongo abelii (Sumatran orangutan). RNAcentral's name for it is "retained intron". Lineage: Eukaryota; Metazoa; Chordata; Mammalia; Primates; Hominidae. The record is from RNAcentral.
AGGUAUGGAUGAAAGAGGAGGUACAACAUCUUGGGGAACAAGUGGUCAACCAAGUCCUUCCUAUGAUUCAUCUAGAGGUUUUACAGACAGCCCUCAUUACAGUGAUCACUUGAAUGACACUCGAUUAGGAGCCCAUGAAGGCUUGUCCCCAACACCUUUCAUGAACUCAAAUCUGAUGGGUAAGUUGGUAAUUCUCUGCAAGUAGUCUUCUCAAAGCUUCUUUGGUCAGAGACAUUUUUUAUCCCUUUGUCCGGGAGGGACAGGUAAGUAUCUAGAAAAAAGUUCUUGAGUUUCUAGGGGCAUCUAGGGCU